This 427-nucleotide ribosomal RNA is filed under the name uncultured bacterium. RNAcentral describes it as "bacterial SSU rRNA". It matches the Rfam family "Bacterial small subunit ribosomal RNA", at positions 355 to 774 of the family's 1533-position model. The record is from RNAcentral.
UGGGGAAUUUUGGACAAUGGGCGCAAGCCUGAUCCAGCCAUGCCGCGUGCAGGAUGAAGGCCUUCGGGUUGUAAACUGCUUUUGUACGGAACGAAAAGGUGCCUUCUAAUAAAGGGCGCUCAUGACGGUACCGUAAGAAUAAGCACCGGCUAACUACGUGCCAGCAGCCGCGGCAAUACGUAGGGUGCGAGCGUUAAUCGGAAUUACUGGGCGUAAAGCGUGCGCAGGCGGUUUUGUAAGACAGAGGUGAAAUCCCCGGGCUCAACCUGGGAACUGCCUUUGUGACUGCAAGGCUGGAGUGCGGCAGAGGGGGAUGGAAUUCCGCGUGUAGCAGUGAAAUGCGUAGAUAUGCGGAGGAACACCGAUGGCGAAGGCAAUCCCCUGGGCCUGCACUGACGCUCAUGCACGAAAGCGUGGGGAGCAAACA